This 92-nucleotide transfer RNA is filed under the name Trichoglossum hirsutum. It matches the Rfam family "tRNA". From Rfam's summary of the family: Transfer RNA (tRNA) molecules are approximately 80 nucleotides in length. Their secondary structure includes four short double-helical elements and three loops (D, anti-codon, and T loops). Further hydrogen bonds mediate the characteristic L-shaped molecular structure. tRNAs have two regions of fundamental functional importance: the anti-codon, which is responsible for specific mRNA codon recognition, and the 3' end, to which the tRNAs corresponding amino acid is attached (by aminoacyl-tRNA synthetases). tRNAs cope with the degeneracy of the genetic code in two manners: having more than one tRNA (with a specific anti-codon) for a particular amino acid; and 'wobble' base-pairing, i.e. permitting non-standard base-pairing at the 3rd anti-codon position. The record is from Rfam by way of RNAcentral. Lineage: Eukaryota; Fungi; Ascomycota; Geoglossomycetes; Geoglossales; Geoglossaceae.
GGUAACAUGGUGUAAUGGUAGCACGUAACGUUGUGGUUGAAGGCGAAUGUGUCAACGCCGUUUUGGUCUGAGUUCGAUUCUCAGUGUUACCA